GACGAAGGGGGCUAGCGUUGUUCGGAAUUACUGGGCGUAAAGCGAGUGUAGGUGGUUGUCCAAGUUGGAUGUGAAAGCCUUGAGCUCAACUCAAGAAAUGCAUUCAGGACUGGAUGGCUAGAGGACCGGAGAGGAUAGUGGAAUCCCCAGUGUAGUGGUGAAAUACGUAGAGAUUGGGAAGAACACCAGUGGCGAAGGCGGCUAUCUGGACGGUUUCUGACACUAAGACUCGAAAGCGUGGGGAGCAAACAGG
Molecule: ribosomal RNA, 253 nt
Filed under: uncultured bacterium
Lineage: Bacteria
Description: partial 16S ribosomal RNA
Rfam family: Bacterial small subunit ribosomal RNA
Source: RNAcentral